This 2080-nucleotide long non-coding RNA is filed under the name Sus scrofa (pig). Its description in RNAcentral is "lncRNA (ENSSSCG00000058043.1)". The record is from RNAcentral. Lineage: Eukaryota; Metazoa; Chordata; Mammalia; Artiodactyla; Suidae.
UUUUUUUUUUUUUUUUUUUUUUUUUUUGGCCGCACCUGCAGUUUAUAAAAGUUCUCAGGCCAGGGAUUGAAUCUGAGCCCCAGCUGUGACUUAUGUCACAGCUGCAGCAAUGCUGGAUCAGAAAAUUGUCCUGGUUUUCCUGAGAACUCUAGGUGUAGACAGCCACUUGCUGCAUCCCUGGGAGAACUUGUCUUUGCCUGGAUGCUGGGGGUCAGGGGAGGACCUCUCCCCAGUAGGACCCACUCUCCAUGGAGUCAGCCUGUGCUCCAUUCAGUCCUCCCCUUUGGUAACCAUAGGUUUGUUUUCAAAAUCUGUGAGUCUGGAGUUUCCGUCAUGGCUCAGCAGAAACAAAUCUGACUAGCAUCCAUGAGGACACAGGUUCAACACCUGGCCUCGCUCAGCAGGUUAAGGAUCCGGUUUUGCUGUGAGCUGUGGUGUAGGUCGCAGACACGGCUCAGGCCUGGCAUUGCUGCAGCUGUGGCUGUGGCUGUGGCUGUGGCCAGCAGCUACACCUCCGAUUCAAAUGUGCCACAGGUUCGACCCUAAACAAAAAAGCAAACAAAUUCUGUGAGUCUGAUUCUUUCUGCAAAUAAUUUCAUUUGUAUACCUUUUUUAGAUUCCACAUACAAGUGAUAUCAUGGGAUAUUUGCCUUUAACCUCACUUAGUGUAAUAAUCUCUAGGUCCAUCCAUGUUGCUGCAAAUGGCAUUAUUUCAUUCUUUUCUAUGGCUGAGUAAUAUUCCAUUGUAUAGAUACACCACGUUUUCUUUAUCCAUUCCUCUGUUGAUGGACAUUUAGGCCCUACAACUAAUACUUUUUUAUGACAGGGACCAUUUGGGGGUUUAGGGCUACUCCACUGCUGAAACCACAGUCUUACACCUCAUGGAGCCUAUAUAGGCUAAUGGGGAAGUAGAGCAAUUAGACCACACACCUGAAAGGUGACUGCCUGGGUUUCACUUUACUGUUUAACAGUUUGUAACUUAAAUGAGAUACUUAAGUUCUUUGAGUCUUAGGUCCUUCAUCUGCAAAAUGAAGUUCAUGAUAAUACUUGUGAGAAUUCAUGGGUUCAUAAAUGUUUGGGACCACACUUGGCACCCAGAAGUGAGGCAUAGCUUCUUUCACUUCUUUAUAGUCAGCAGAUCAAGAUGGCGGAGGAGUAAGACUUCGAGCUCAGCUUCUCCCACAAACACAUCAAAAAAACGCAUCUACGUGUAAAAUGACUUGCACGGAACAUCUACUGAAUGCUGGCAGAAGAACUUAAACCUCCAAAAAAGGGCAAGAAACCCUUGACAUAAUGGGGUAGAACGAGAGAGAGAAAAGGAAUCAGGACAGGACUGGCAUUCCUGAGAGGAAGCUGUGAAGGAGAAAGGAACCCACACCCUGGGAAGCCACCUAACCUACUGGGAGACCAGCCGAGACAGAGGGACCUCAAAGUCGUGGAGAAAAGCACAGCAGCUGCACUGAGGACAAAGUAGAGUGAGAGCUGCACAGAUCAUCUGCACCACCGUCUGGACACCACAGCCUGAGACACUCCAGAGGUCAGUCCCGGGGAAAGGACUAGGGUUGGCUGUGUGGGGACUGCCUGAGGGGCUAAGGAACCGUGCGCCACGGGCGGGGGAACAGUGUGCUACGGGCUGGGGAGUAGACCGCCAUGGUAGAGGGAACCCAGGAGAAAGUCUGGUCCUGCAGAGGAAACAAGGCGCCAUUGUUGGGGAGGGUGGGAGGAGGAGGAGGAGGGGGCGGGCAGCCAUAGGAAUCUCCCUGCGCAUGCGCUGGCGGGCUCUCAGAGGGUGGUGCCUCUGGCACAGGCUGUGGGUGCUACUUGCUCUGGCUACAGGAGACAGGGCACUUCUUGUGCAGGCCACAGGUGGCCGGGAACCUCUUGUGUGGGCUAAGGGCAGCACAAGGGUUAGCAGGAUGUGGUGCCUCUUGCGUGAUCUGCAGGCAGCAGGAACGGACCACGGUGGUCGUCUUGGAGGCCAGAGGGAGAUAUGGCCUGCCACCACUGGGGGCCUGUGAGUGGGCUCCACCUGCAGUCCCAGUCACCUCAGGGGUCAGCAAAAAAAAAAAAAAAAAAAAAA